Molecule: ribosomal RNA, 505 nt
Filed under: uncultured bacterium
Lineage: Bacteria
Description: partial 16S ribosomal RNA
Rfam family: Bacterial small subunit ribosomal RNA
Source: RNAcentral
GACGAACGCUGGCGGCGUGCCUAAUACAUGCAAGUAGAACGCACAGUUUAUGCCGUAGCUUGCUACACCAUAGACUGUGAGUUGCGAACGGGUGAGUAACGCGUAGGUAACCUGCCUGGCAGCGGGGGAUAACUAUUGGAAACGAUAGCUAAUACCGCAUAAUAUUAAUUAUUGCAUGAUAAUUAAUUGAAAGGUGCAAUUGCACCACUACCAGAUGGACCUGCGUUGUAUUAGCUAGUAGGUGAGGUAACGGCUCACCUAGGCGACGAUACAUAGCCGACCUGAGAGGGUGAUCGGCCACACUGGGACUGAGACACGGCCCAGACUCCUACGGGAGGCAGCAGUAGGGAAUCGUCGGCAAUGGACGAAAGUCUGACCGAGCAACGCCGCGUGAGUGAAGAAGGUUUUCGGAUCGUAAAGCUCUGUUGUAAGAGAAGAACGGGUGUGAGAGUGGAAAGUUCACACUGUGACGGUAUCUUACCAGAAAGGGACGGCUAACUACGUG